ACCUUAACAGCUAGCCCACCCCCUUAAAUUCAACAAACGACAUUAACUAAACCCAAAAUCACUAAUUGUGAACUACUAAACCAUUCUCCCUCCUUAGUAUUGGAGAAAGAACAGGAGCUUGGCGCGAUAGAGAAGUACCGCAAGGGAAAGCUGAAAGAGAGAUGAAACAGCCCAGUCAAGGAACCUAUAAAGCAGAGAUCAGAUCUCGUACCUUUUGCAUCAUGAUCUAGCCAGUCAAAUUCGAGCGAAGUGCACUGUAUGUUCGAAACCCCGAAACUGGGCGAGCUACCCCGAGGCAGCCUACUAAAGGGCUAACCCGUCUCUGUGGCAAAAGAGUGGGAAGACCUCCGGGUAGGGGUGACAGACCUACCGAGCUCAGUAAUAGCUGGUUUCCUGGGAACCGAAUAGAAGUUCGGCCUUCUGAUUUCUCACACCAAAUGUGGUCAGACCUACUACCGGCACGAGAACAUCAAGAGAGUUAUUCUGAUGGGGUACAGCCCGUCCGAAAGUGGAU
This 514-nucleotide ribosomal RNA is filed under the name Gunnellichthys sp. AMS I.43781-038. RNAcentral's name for it is "partial 16S ribosomal RNA". It matches the Rfam family "Bacterial large subunit ribosomal RNA", at positions 200 to 1020 of the family's 2925-position model. The record is from RNAcentral. Lineage: Eukaryota; Metazoa; Chordata; Actinopteri; Gobiiformes; Gobiidae.